AAGCGCUUGCAGCCAGACUUGCCUGUAGUUGCUCAUCCGGGUUUUUACCCGGUGCACUCUUCUAUAGGCAGGCCAGCAUCAGUUUGGGCGGUUGGAUAAAGGUCUCUGUCAUGUACCUCUCUUCGGGGAGAACUUAUAGGGGAGACGACAUGCAACCAGCCUGGACUGAGGUCCGCGCAUCUGCUAGGAUGCUGGCGUAAUGGCUGUAAGCGG
This 213-nucleotide ribosomal RNA is filed under the name Phoma herbarum. RNAcentral's name for it is "partial large subunit ribosomal RNA". Lineage: Eukaryota; Fungi; Ascomycota; Dothideomycetes; Pleosporales; Didymellaceae. The record is from RNAcentral.